Long non-coding RNA from Equus quagga, 428 nucleotides. RefSeq lists it as uncharacterized. The transcript has 3 exons. The record is from RefSeq and is a predicted model, not a curated record. Lineage: Eukaryota; Metazoa; Chordata; Mammalia; Perissodactyla; Equidae.
CCCCCCCCCCCCCCCCCCGCCACUGGCCCCUCCCCGCCCUCUCCCACCUCCCUCCACCCUCCCCCCUCCUCCCUCCGCGCCUGGGCCGCUGAAGGCUGAGUCAUCGCUGCGGCGCUGCCGGGAGAGCAGGCGAGCAGCUCACAUCCCACCGCGAUGUGGCCGACAGGAUUCCGGACUUUCGGGAGAAUAUGGUGGAAACUGGAGCUGUUCGCCGUGCACGGGGGUCCGCAGAUGUUUUUUGAUUGACCACUCAGUGCUAGGCACUGUGUUUGCUGCUGAGUGCUGGGCAGAGUGGGAAACAAGUUCCUAGCUCCUGCCCAUGAGGAGCUCACCGGGCACAACAAAUACACCGUCUGACCAGCUGUCCCUCUGGCCUGCAGCCUGUGAGCAGCUGCAAGUUUACAGCUUUGACAUCCGCUUGAAAGAAC